CUACCCCGCUGAAUUUAAGCAUAUCAAUAAGCGGAGGAAU
This 40-nucleotide ribosomal RNA is filed under the name Cyclotella cryptica. RNAcentral's name for it is "partial large subunit ribosomal RNA". The record is from RNAcentral. Lineage: Eukaryota; Bacillariophyta; Thalassiosirophyceae; Thalassiosirales; Thalassiosiraceae.